GAGAGAAGAUAAGAGGCAACGAAAAGAGACGAGAUGGCGGAAGAGGAAAGAAGGGAGAUCCUUGAGAAGAGGGGUGAGUUAGAGAACACUGAAGAGGAGGAGGAGAAGGACGAUGACAAGGAGGACAUCCUCCCACCUGAUAAAAGUAUCUGAAGGAGAGCUGUGGGCUGGGUAAAUAAGAAGUGGGAGAAGAGGAACAUCAGAAAGAUAGAGAGAACGUAUCAGAGAGAGGCUGAGGAGGGCCAUAAGAUCGUCCACAUAGAACCAGCAGGAGGGGCCAGAGAACCAUCAGGGGGGGCCAGACAGCCAGCAGCUAGAAGCUCCAGAAGAGGCUGAAACAUCAGAGCCAACCUCCAAGAACAAGAAAAGGCCAAGCAUCUGGAAGAAAAUUAGGAUGGGUCAACAAGUGAUGAGCCAGAUCAACCAAUCAACGUCACUGCAGCUGUUCUACCCACCACCCCCACUGCUCUUCCUCCACCACCAACCUCAUCCUCUUCUCCUGUUCAACUCAUUUGUCGCCCCACUAGAAAGGACUAGUGCAUACAGUUGAUGUCGGAAGUUUACAUACACUUAGGUUGGAGUCAUUAAAACUCAUUUUUCAACCACUCCA
This is a non-coding RNA of Oncorhynchus mykiss (rainbow trout), 610 nucleotides long. Lineage: Eukaryota; Metazoa; Chordata; Actinopteri; Salmoniformes; Salmonidae. The record is from RefSeq and is a predicted model, not a curated record.